Molecule: ribosomal RNA, 585 nt
Filed under: Geastrum aff. michelianum MA-Fungi 83771
Lineage: Eukaryota; Fungi; Basidiomycota; Agaricomycetes; Geastrales; Geastraceae
Description: eukaryotic LSU rRNA
Rfam family: 5.8S ribosomal RNA (bases 177-331)
Source: RNAcentral
CAUUACUGAAGAAACAAGGGUUUUGAGACUGCGUCCUUCAUUGGCGUGUGCUCGACCCUUACUCUUUCAUCCCAUAUACACCUUUGUGCACCAAGGGACCUUGUGUCCCCUUUUUUUUCAUAAAUGCCGAGUUAUAUGCAUGUAUAUUUUGUAAUACUCUACGGAGUUAUAAAUACAACUUUCAACAACGGAUCUCUUGGCUUUCGCAUCGAUGAAGAACGCAGCGAACGUGCGAAACGUAAUGUGAAUUGCAGAAUUCAGUGAAUCAUCGAAUCUUUGAACGCAUCUUGCGCUCCUUGGUAUUCCGAGGAGCAUGCCUGUUUGAGUGUCGUGAAUAACUCUCAAUUUUAAUUUUAUUUUUGAAAUUGGAUUUGGGUGUUGUCGUGUUUGUACGACUCAUCCCUAAAUGCAUUAGCGAUCUGCCCUGAUCACACACAAUGUGAUAAGUAAAUAUUAAAACAUUGUUAUGGUUGGGUUUGAAAGAUCGCUUCUUAAUCGUCGUAAUGACAAAAUUGAGUCUCAAGGACUCAUGUCGUUUGACCUCAAAUCAGGCAGGACUACCCGCUGAACUUAAGCAUAUCAAUA